UCGGGAGUAUAAGAAUGAUAAAAACGUACCUAAUUUGAAAAGCUUUGAUACCAAAUGAUACGAACUCACCUCAGUGAUGAUCUGAGUCGUAGAAAUUGCCCGAUCGUCAAAUUGAGUAGUUCUCGUUUUUAAUUCAAUAAAUUGGCUAAGUUAUAAAAAUAGCUAUUUAGGCAGCGGAUAAAACAAAGUAAAUAUAAUGGAUGGAUGGUAUAGUGAACUCAAAACAAGAAUGAACCCAUAACAAAGGUUAAGGACCUGAUUCUUAAAUGUUUUAAGGUGAUUGGCGAAAAGUUGGAUAAAACCAAGACCCG
RNAcentral lists this long non-coding RNA (311 nucleotides) under Gossypium raimondii (Peruvian cotton). RNAcentral's name for it is "long non-coding RNA (GRAI_LNC004492)". Lineage: Eukaryota; Viridiplantae; Streptophyta; Magnoliopsida; Malvales; Malvaceae. The record is from RNAcentral.